RNAcentral lists this non-coding RNA (23 nucleotides) under Cricetulus griseus (Chinese hamster). Lineage: Eukaryota; Metazoa; Chordata; Mammalia; Rodentia; Cricetidae. The record is from RNAcentral.
UAUGACCUUUGACCUUCCUAUGU